RNAcentral lists this transfer RNA (72 nucleotides) under Camelus bactrianus (Bactrian camel). It matches the Rfam family "tRNA". From Rfam's summary of the family: Transfer RNA (tRNA) molecules are approximately 80 nucleotides in length. Their secondary structure includes four short double-helical elements and three loops (D, anti-codon, and T loops). RNAcentral also lists the same sequence under 1 other name. Lineage: Eukaryota; Metazoa; Chordata; Mammalia; Artiodactyla; Camelidae. The record is from Rfam by way of RNAcentral.
GAGGGAAUAGCUCAAAUGGUAGAGUGCAUGCUUAGCAUGUGCUAGAUCCUGGGUUCAAUCCCCAGUCCCUCC